Molecule: ribosomal RNA, 1237 nt
Filed under: metagenome
Description: bacterial LSU rRNA
Rfam family: Bacterial large subunit ribosomal RNA
Source: RNAcentral
UGAGUACGAGAUGCUACGGCAUCGAAGCAGUCUAUGUCAUACUUCCAAGAAAAGCUUGCAAUGUCAUAAACAAAUAAUGCCUGUACCAUAACCGACACAGGUGGGUAGGUAGAGUAUACUAAGGGGCGCGAGACAACUCUCUCUAAGGAACUCGGCAAAAUGACUCCGUAACUUCGGGAGAAGGAGUGCCUUAUUUUUAUAAGGUUGCAAUAACAAGAUCCAAGCAACUGUUUACCAAAAACACAGGUCUCCGCUAAGUCGUAAGACGAUGUAUGGGGGCUGACGCCUGCCCAGUGCCAGAAGGUUAAAGAAGUUGGUUAGCAUUAGCGAAGCUGAUAACUGAAGCCCUGGUGAACGGCGGCCGUAACAAUAACGGUCCUAAGGUAGCGAAAUUCCUUGUCGGGUAAGUUCCGACCCGCACGAAAGGCGUAAUGAUUUGGAUACUGUCUCGGAGAGGGGCUCGGUGAAAUAGACUUGUCUGUGAAGAUGCGGACUACCUGCACCUGGACAGAAAGACCCUAUGAAGCUUUACUGUAACUUGAGAUUGAAAUUGGACUUUAUCUGCGCAGUAUAGGUGGGAGACGUUGAAAAUAUUCUUGCGGGAAUAUUGGAGUCAUCAGUGAGAUACCACUCUUAUAAUGUUAGAUUUCUAACUUUGUAUCAUUAUCUGGUCAAAGAACAGUUUCAGGCGGGCAGUUUGACUGGGGCGGUCGCCUCCCAAACGGUAACGGAGGCGCACAAAGGUUUCCUCUGAACGUGUAGAAAUCGUAUCUAGAGUGUAAAGGCAUAAGGAAGCUUGACUGUGAGACCUACAAGUCGAGCAGGGACGAAAGUCGGUCUUAGUGAUCUGACGGUGCUGAGUGGAAAGGCCGUCACUCAACGGAUAAAAGUUACUCUAAGGAUAACAGGCUGAUCUCCCCCAAGAGUUCACAUCGACGGGGAGGUUUGGCACCUCGAUGUCGGCUCAUCGCAUCCUGGGGCGGUAGUACGUCCCAAGGGUUGGGCUGUUCGCCCAUGAAAGCGGUACGCGAGCUGGGUUCAGAACGUCGUGAGACAGUUCGGUCCAUAUCCGGUGUAGGCGUUAGAAUAUUGAGAGGAGCCUUCUUUAGUACGAGAGGACCGAGAAGGACAUACCUCUGGUGUACCAGUUAUCGUGCCAACGGUAAACGCUGGGUAGCCAUGUAUGGAGAGGAUAACCGCUGAAAGCAUCUAAGUGGGAAGCCCACCUCAAGAUAAG